Molecule: long non-coding RNA, 1210 nt
Organism: Notolabrus celidotus (New Zealand spotty)
Lineage: Eukaryota; Metazoa; Chordata; Actinopteri; Labriformes; Labridae
Exons: 3
Source: RefSeq, a predicted model, not a curated record
CCACACUGUCAACAGGCUGAGGGGAAAAGUGCCGGACUCCUUUCUGUGAAUUGAUUUGAUAUGACGUGUGAUCAGGUUCUUCCUGGCGGCCCUUUUGUUGCACCGGGCCUGAUUACGCCCGCUUUUGAGUGACCAGAGCACAUCCGACAAUCCACCCAACAUGCCUGCUGUGGAGGCCCCACCCAAACCGCCCCUUUCUGAUGACGAGGAGGUUCAGGAAGUGAAGGACCCCCUGCUCGACGAAGCUCAGUACGACUCCUUGGAGAAGGCCUUGAGUUGCUCCGGGAGAGUCUACUGAGCUCUGAUCGAACCAGCUGCAGGUGGAUGCUCGGUGCAUCCUCUCGCCUCAGCGUCGAAGCUGUGAUUCAACUUAUAUAAAACGAUAAUGUGACCAGCAAAUUAACUGCAUCACUCAAUUUUACAUUAACAGUAAUCUCUGUGUUAGUGGAGAGAUAACCUAAUGUAAAUAAAAGAUAGACGUGAUUAUAUCUGAUUUACGGGCGUGGAGAGAACACCCAAGGCCAGGCCAGGAUUUGAAGAUCUGGCGUUUCUCUUGAUUGUUGUCCUUUGAGAUGCAUCUCAGGCGUGUGCUCUGGGUUACAGAAAAUGUGAUAUGCAGACGAUGUGGCUCACUUGGAUAAAUUCUUACUUCUUGCAGACUCACUAGAUCUAUAUCUGGUCUUUUAAGUCGCCUAUAAACAUCUCAAUGCUUCAAAAUACAGCAUACUUCCAGGGAUGCACGAUAUAGAUCAGUCUGAACAAGUAUUAGCUGAUACUCUAAAUUUUUAAAUAUUUUAUAUUAUUCCAUAAUACGGUCUUACUGGACAAAAACAACCAAUAAGACAUUCUUUCAUUGACUUGUUAACACGCCUUCACACUCCGAUACAGUAGGUGGCGCUAUGUGAUCCACAGUUAGGUACAGAGAAGAAGAAGAAGUGGCGAAGUGGAUGUCUUUUUACUAUUUCAGAAGAGGAUGAAAUGAUUGAAAUGUGUAAGUUUUAACACAACACAUUUUUACGAUCACUUUAAAAGCCGUCAUCGCAACAGAAGUGAAGUAGCCGCAGCUAGCGUUAGCAUCAAUAAAAGGUUUAAAAGUGUCGUACUUUAGUAUGAAACAGACAUGAUGCAGCACUGGAGUUCUACCAGUUACGGCCUGAUCCGUCUCUGAUCCGUCACAGCACCAGAUCUGAUAGGUUUCUAUUCUAGUCCA